UAUUUGGUUUCCAAAUUAAAGUCAGAAUUUCAAAUAAUGGCUUUGGGUGGGAAAGAAUGAAACUCUAGCAUAUGUUCAGUAUGUGACAACAAUAGCAGGAAAUUUACAAAAUAAUCAUUAAAUAAUUUAUAAAAUAAAUUUAAAUAAAAACAUUUAAUAGAAACUUAUUAUUAUACUUAAUUUUAAAUCCCUAUAUACUGAGGCUUAUGAAAUGUGAAAUAUUUAUUAUUUAUCCUUAUUUACAAUUUUUCUUUUUAAGCUUUCUAAUUUCUUUAAACUUUUGAGUGCAUGUGAUAUUUCUCGUGAAAUAAAAUUAUUUUACUAACCAGAUAUUAUUUUAGUAACAUCGAUAAAAGGAAAAUUUAAUACGUAUCAAAUUCUAAAAUCUACUUUCGUUAUUUCUGUUGGUGUUCCAAUUAAAAUAUUAUAUGAAUCAGAAAACCGGUCACAAUGUUACACUGGAAAGUUUAAAUGGUGAAUUUUACCGUGGGAAAUUAAUUGAAGAAAAUAAUGUGAAUGUUCCAUUAUGUGAGUUCACAUUUACUGACAGAUCCGGAAAAGUUAGCUAAUUGGAAAAUCUCUAUAUUUGUGGAAGUAUUAUUAGAUUUCUUCUUACUAGAAGUCACCGGGAAACCAAAGUCUUUGGGUUCCGGGGGAAGUAUGGUUGCAAAGCUGAAACUUAAAGGAAUUGACGGAAGGGCACCACAAGGAGUGGAGCCUGCGGCUUAAUUUGACUCAACACGGGAAAUCUCACCCGGUCCGGACACUGUGAGGAUUGACAGAUUGAUAGCUCUUUCUUGAUUCGGUGGGUGGUGGUGCAUGGCCGUUCUUAGUUGGUGGAGCGAUUUGUCAGGUUAAUUCCGAUAACGAACGAGACUCUGACUUACUAAAUAGUGAAUUUAUAUUCAAUUGUAAAUUCUCACUUCUUAGAAGAAUAAAUAGCGUUUAGCUAUAUGAAAUAGAGCAAUAACAGGUCUGUGAUGCCCUUAGAUGUCCGGGGCCGCACGCGCGCUACAAUGGCAGUACUAACAAGUUUUCCUAACUAGAAAUAGUCGGGUAAUCUCUUGAAACACUGUCGUAUCAGGGAUUGUGAAUUGAAAUUAUUUCACAUGAACGAGGAAUUCCUAGUAAGCGCAAGUCACUAGCUUGCGCUGAUUACGUCCCUGCCCUUUGUACACACCGCCCGUCGCUACUACCGAUUGAAUGGUUUAGUGAGAUUGUUGGAUUCUGAUCUAAGAAAUGGCAACAUUUCUAUGAAUGGGAAAAGACACUCAAACUUGAUCAUUUAGAGGAAGUAAAAGUCGUAACAAGGUUUCCGUAGGUGAACCUGCGGAAG
RNAcentral lists this ribosomal RNA (1336 nucleotides) under Schmidtea mediterranea. RNAcentral's name for it is "SSU rRNA". The stretch from base 653 to 1336 matches the Rfam family "Eukaryotic small subunit ribosomal RNA", at positions 1117 to 1823 of the family's 1831-position model. Lineage: Eukaryota; Metazoa; Platyhelminthes; Tricladida; Dugesiidae. The record is from RNAcentral.